GACGAACGCUGGCGGCGUGCUUAACACAUGCAAGUCGAACGGAAAGGCCCUGCUUUUGUGGGGUGCUCGAGUGGCGAACGGGUGAGUAACACGUGAGUAACCUGCCCUUGACUUUGGGAUAACUUCAGGAAACUGGGGCUAAUACCGGAUAGGAGCUCCUGCUGCAUGGUGGGGGUUGGAAAGUUUCGGCGGUUGGGGAUGGACUCGCGGCUUAUCAGCUUGUUGGUGGGGUAGUGGCUUACCAAGGCUUUGACGGGUAGCCGGCCUGAGAGGGUGACCGGCCACAUUGGGACUGAGAUACGGCCCAGACUCCUACGGGAGGCAGCAGUGGGGAAUAUUGCACAAUGGGCGGAAGCCUGAUGCAGCAACGCCGCGUGCGGGACGACGGCCUUCGGGUUGUAAACCGCUUUCGCCUGGGACGAAGCGUGAGUGACGGUAAUGGGUAAAGAAGCACCGGCUAACUACGUG
This 468-nucleotide ribosomal RNA is filed under the name uncultured bacterium. RNAcentral describes it as "partial 16S ribosomal RNA". It matches the Rfam family "Bacterial small subunit ribosomal RNA", at positions 28 to 507 of the family's 1533-position model. The record is from RNAcentral.